AACAAGGUUUCAUUAGAAACCACCCUAUGCAGCAUAUAAUCAAUG
Non-coding RNA from Xenopus laevis (African clawed frog), 45 nucleotides. The record is from Rfam. NCBI's taxonomy places the organism in Eukaryota, Metazoa, Chordata, Amphibia, Anura, Pipidae.